RNAcentral lists this ribosomal RNA (464 nucleotides) under uncultured bacterium. Its description in RNAcentral is "partial 16S ribosomal RNA". It matches the Rfam family "Bacterial small subunit ribosomal RNA", at positions 28 to 507 of the family's 1533-position model. The record is from RNAcentral.
GACGAACGCUGGCGGCGUGCUUAACACAUGCAAGUCGAACGGAAAGGCCCCGUUGGGGGUACUCGAGUGGCGAACGGGUGAGUAACACGCAAGUAACCUGCCCUUGACUUCCGGAUAACUUCAGGAAACUGGGGCUAAUACCGGCUAGGAAUGCUUGCUGCAUGGUGGGGGUUGGUAAGAUUCGGCGGUUUUGGAUGGACUCGCGGCUUAUCAGCUUGUUGGUGGGGUAGUGGCUUACCAAGGCUUUGACGGGUAGCCGGCCUGAGAGGGCGACCGGCCACAUUGGGACUGAGAUACGGCCCAGACUCCUACGGGAGGCAGCAGUGGGGAAUAUUGCACAAUGGGCGGAAGCCUGAUGCAGCAACGCCGCGUGCGGGAUGACGGCCUUCGGGUUGUAAACCGCUUUCAGCAGGGGCGAAGCUUUUGUGACGGUACCUGCAGAAGAAGCACCGGCUAACUACGUG